Molecule: ribosomal RNA, 723 nt
Filed under: Vibrio sp. 14G06
Lineage: Bacteria; Pseudomonadati; Pseudomonadota; Gammaproteobacteria; Vibrionales; Vibrionaceae
Description: bacterial SSU rRNA
Rfam family: Bacterial small subunit ribosomal RNA
Source: RNAcentral
ACGCUGGCGGCAGGCCUAACACAUGCAAGUCGAGCGGAAACGACAACAUCGAAUCUUCGGAGGAUUUAAUGGGCGUCGAGCGGCGGACGGGUGAGUAAUGCCUAGGAAAUUGCCUUGAUGUGGGGGAUAACCAUUGGAAACGAUGGCUAAUACCGCAUAAUGCCUACGGGCCAAAGAGGGGGAUCUUCGGACCUCUCGCGUCAAGAUAUGCCUAGGUGGGAUUAGCUAGUUGGUGAGGUAAUGGCUCACCAAGGCGACGAUCCCUAGCUGGUCUGAGAGGAUGAUCAGCCACACUGGAACUGAGACACGGUCCAGACUCCUACGGGAGGCAGCAGUGGGGAAUAUUGCACAAUGGGCGAAAGCCUGAUGCAGCCAUGCCGCGUGUAUGAAGAAGGCCUUCGGGUUGUAAAGUACUUUCAGUUGUGAGGAAGGGUGUGUAGUUAAUAGCUGCGCAUCUUGACGUUAGCAACAGAAGAAGCACCGGCUAACUCCGUGCCAGCAGCCGCGGUAAUACGGAGGGUGCGAGCGUUAAUCGGAAUUACUGGGCGUAAAGCGCAUGCAGGUGGUUCAUUAAGUCAGAUGUGAAAGCCCGGGGCUCAACCUCGGAACUGCAUUUGAAACUGGUGAACUAGAGUGCUGUAGAGGGGGGUAGAAUUUCAGGUGUAGCGGUGAAAUGCGUAGAGAUCUGAAGGAAUACCAGUGGCGAAGGCGGCCCCCUGGACA